UUGAUGAGUAAUUUGACAAGAUGUACCAUCAGCCGUGUGGAUAGAAGUACCAUCAGUGAUAGGCUUACAGGCUACCAACUUAGACUUGUCAGACGUCACAUGAAAAGAAGCCCCUGAAUCCAGAAUCCAAGACUGCGAAGCAAUGUUUUGAGAGGCAGCAGCGAUUGACACAGUUCCACUAGUAUGAAGCCCAGCAUCAAGUUUGAUAGCACUAGCCAUAACACUGGACUGCAACAUGUUGAAGAAAUGCUGAUCCUUGUACUCAAACCAGAGAACAGGACCGGGCAGAGCUCCCGUGCAGCAACAGACCAACCAGCAGAGGGCAAAAACCAACCAGAACAUAGCAGGACAGCAGAGCAGAGUAGCAGAACAGAACAACACAGCAGAGCAGAGGCGGAUGGUGUGGAGGAGUCCAGCAGCACAGCCGCACCCCCCUGAAGAAGAUGCAGCAGCAGAGGCCGCAACAGGCAGACGGAUGGACCAGCAACGGAUGUGGGCCGUGCCCAUGACUGGCAGCAGUGAAGAGGCCGCGACGAGCAGCGUGUGCGACUGCAGCAGGCUGCGACGGCGGCGGACGGUAGCAGGCCGCGACGAGCCGCGACGGGCGGCCGCGCGAACAGCAGCGACGAUGGGCGGGGUGUGGGACAAGGCGAGGCGGCGACGGGCCGCUCCCUCACGCAAGCCGCGACGGGCGGCUGCAAAACGGGUCCGCAACUCGCGGAUCUGCGACGCCGGACAGCCGGCGGCGGCGGAACAGUGGAUCUCGGGUGGGAUGAUGUAUCCCUAGCCCUACCUGCUCUGUAUCAUGUUACCUUGGAUGAGUGAAUGGGAAGAAGAGAGUCUGAAUGUUACCUUGGAUGAGUGAAUGGGAAGAAGAGAGUCUGAACAGAGACUGCCGUUGUGGUAUAUGAGGUAGUCCAUAUGGGCCUCAGGCCCUGACCAUACUUAACACUAGCUAUGCAACGAACUGAUGCAUUGUGCGGGAUAGGGGUGAAAAGUAUCUCAUAAACAACCAUAUUUGAGAUCCCAUUUUCCAAAAAUGUGGCAUCCAUAACACUGCAUACCCUGCAGUGCAACAGUUGUCCCUCAAAUCUAUCCAGACUGCAACAGGCAACUUCGAAACAUUGAUAGGAGGGUGUGUUUGGAGCAGUUUAUCCAGACUGCAUACCCUGCAUUUUAUUUUGCUAAAUUGACUGCUCUGAACUAUCCAAUAACAUGGGCUUCAACUCGAUAUUAUCUGUAUAACAUGUUUCUUGCCAAAAUGAAUUCGCUUUAGUUGCUUGCUUUGAAUUAUUGUGCCCAAGUGGUAGUACUUGGUCUGUUCUGCUUUUUUGCAUUGUGGCGCGUGCUCAAUAUAUUCCGAUCACCUUGAAUGGUAUGUAAGCAUAGUAACUUCAGAUAUAGAUGUGUUUCCUGAGAUAGGAUGGGUUUCGAUAUGAUAACUCUUAUCUAAACUUACAUAUUUUGUGGCCAGCUAUAUGUAGCGCAAUCAUAUCUAAUGUUGGUCUCCUAGAGCAUUUUUAUGGCCAGCUGUAUGUAGCGCUAUCAACAGGUGUUUCGCUUGAUACUGUAUGGGUUCUCACGAAAAGAAAUAUGAACAUCGAUCCUACUAGAAAGUGAACCAAGAAUAUUAUUUAUCAGGAGGUCUUGGAGUCGUGAGGUAAGUUUCUCUGUUUUACUUUACUAUACGUACAGAUAUACAAGCUUUGAGAUAUUUGUUCUUAUUUAUGUCCCUUCUAAGUCUAUUUAUUGUUCCUACGGCAUUUAUGGUUGAAGCUUGUCAAUGGUACGCAGAAGAAUAAGGAUAGCAGAAUCAAAAAGCUAUUGCAUUUAGUCAUAUGGAUGUAAAAUGCCUCUUGUGCAUUAGUUAGAGGAAUUACUAUAUUACUAUAUUUGUAAGAUUUGUACGAUAGAUAUAUGUAUUUAUAAUCUAUGUAUAUCUCUCUUAAUUUCA
Long non-coding RNA from Panicum virgatum (switchgrass), 1954 nucleotides. RefSeq lists it as uncharacterized. The transcript is spliced from 2 exons. Lineage: Eukaryota; Viridiplantae; Streptophyta; Magnoliopsida; Poales; Poaceae. The record is from RefSeq and is a predicted model, not a curated record.